RNAcentral lists this non-coding RNA (188 nucleotides) under Metabacillus litoralis. RNAcentral describes it as "6S RNA". It matches the Rfam family "6S / SsrS RNA". From Rfam's summary of the family: E. coli 6S RNA was the first non coding RNA to be sequenced, but its function was unknown until recently. It consists of 184 nucleotides that fold into an extended hairpin structure with a large single-stranded internal bulge. The record is from RNAcentral. Lineage: Bacteria; Bacillati; Bacillota; Bacilli; Caryophanales; Bacillaceae. RNAcentral also lists the same sequence under 1 other name.
AAAGUCCUGAUGUGUUCGUUGUACACCUAGUUUUGACCUAACAUUGUUUAUACGGGAGCUUGAGUUUUCAGACAGAGUACAUGCCUCUAACCUCGGAUUGAGGACUUACAAACCUCUGGAAUAAAGCACCCACCUGCUGAGUGCGGGAUCAAAACGAGGGAAAUGGCGACGGCACAAUUGGGACUAUU